GGGGAUGUGACUCAGUGGUAGAGCAUUUACUUAGCAUAUAGAAGGCCCUAGGUUCAAACCCCAGUACUGCCA
This 72-nucleotide transfer RNA is filed under the name Urocitellus parryii (Arctic ground squirrel). RNAcentral describes it as "Spermophilus parryii (Arctic ground squirrel) tRNA". It matches the Rfam family "tRNA". Rfam says of the family: Transfer RNA (tRNA) molecules are approximately 80 nucleotides in length. Their secondary structure includes four short double-helical elements and three loops (D, anti-codon, and T loops). Further hydrogen bonds mediate the characteristic L-shaped molecular structure. tRNAs have two regions of fundamental functional importance: the anti-codon, which is responsible for specific mRNA codon recognition, and the 3' end, to which the tRNAs corresponding amino acid is attached (by aminoacyl-tRNA synthetases). tRNAs cope with the degeneracy of the genetic code in two manners: having more than one tRNA (with a specific anti-codon) for a particular amino acid; and 'wobble' base-pairing, i.e. permitting non-standard base-pairing at the 3rd anti-codon position. The record is from Rfam by way of RNAcentral. Lineage: Eukaryota; Metazoa; Chordata; Mammalia; Rodentia; Sciuridae. RNAcentral also lists the same sequence under 1 other name.